This 369-nucleotide unclassified non-coding RNA is filed under the name uncultured fungus. RNAcentral's name for it is "sequence contains ITS2". The record is from RNAcentral. Lineage: Eukaryota; Fungi.
AACGCAAAUUGCGCUCUCGGGAUAGGCCUGAGAGCACGCCUCUUUGAGUAUCGAUUCCACCCCCUCCAGAACAAAAUUUAUUUUUUUGUGCGCUGGGAGUAUGAGUGUUUCACCUUUGGGUGUCACUUGAAAAGGAAUGACUUUUUGGUUGAGUUGUGUCUUAGACUUGAACUAUUCGAGCAUCGAAAAAGCUUGAUGUGUUUUUGUUCUUUUCAUGUUGAUAAAUGUCAUCGUGUUGAGACGAAACUACGUCAAGUGACGCUAGGAUGGUUCUCUAUUGCUAAGAUGCGGUACUAUGACUCAACCCUGAAUUUUUAACAAAUCUAAGAAUUAGAUCUCAAAUGAAGCGAGACAACCCGCUGAACUUAA